Molecule: ribosomal RNA, 2905 nt
Filed under: Escherichia coli
Lineage: Bacteria; Pseudomonadati; Pseudomonadota; Gammaproteobacteria; Enterobacterales; Enterobacteriaceae
Description: 23S ribosomal RNA
Rfam family: Bacterial large subunit ribosomal RNA
Source: RNAcentral
GGUUAAGCGACUAAGCGUACACGGUGGAUGCCCUGGCAGUCAGAGGCGAUGAAGGACGUGCUAAUCUGCGAUAAGCGUCGGUGAGGUGAUAUGAACCGUUAUAACCGGCGAUUUCCGAAUGGGGAAACCCAGUGUGUUUCGACACACUAUCAUUAACUGAAUCCAUAGGUUAAUGAGGCGAACCGGGGGAACUGAAACAUCUAAGUACCCCGAGGAAAAGAAAUCAACCGAGAUUCCCCCAGUAGCGGCGAGCGAACGGGGAGGAGCCCAGAGCCUGAAUCAGUGUGUGUGUUAGUGGAAGCGUCUGGAAAGGCGCGCGAUACAGGGUGACAGCCCCGUACACAAAAAUGCACAUACUGUGAGCUCGAUGAGUAGGGCGGGACACGUGGUAUCCUGUCUGAAUAUGGGGGGACCAUCCUCCAAGGCUAAAUACUCCUGACUGACCGAUAGUGAACCAGUACCGUGAGGGAAAGGCGAAAAGAACCCCGGCGAGGGGAGUGAAAAAGAACCUGAAACCGUGUACGUACAAGCAGUGGGAGCCUCUUAAUGGGGUGACUGCGUACCUUUUGUAUAAUGGGUCAGCGACUUAUAUUCUGUAGCAAGGUUAACCGAAUAGGGGAGCCGAAGGGAAACCGAGUCUUAACUGGGCGUUAAGUUGCAGGGUAUAGACCCGAAACCCGGUGAUCUAGCCAUGGGCAGGUUGAAGGUUGGGUAACACUAACUGGAGGACCGAACCGACUAAUGUUGAAAAAUUAGCGGAUGACUUGUGGCUGGGGGUGAAAGGCCAAUCAAACCGGGAGAUAGCUGGUUCUCCCCGAAAGCUAUUUAGGUAGCGCCUCGUGAAUUCAUCUCCGGGGGUAGAGCACUGUUUCGGCAAGGGGGUCAUCCCGACUUACCAACCCGAUGCAAACUGCGAAUACCGGAGAAUGUUAUCACGGGAGACACACGGCGGGUGCUAACGUCCGUCGUGAAGAGGGAAACAACCCAGACCGCCAGCUAAGGUCCCAAAGUCAUGGUUAAGUGGGAAACGAUGUGGGAAGGCCCAGACAGCCAGGAUGUUGGCUUAGAAGCAGCCAUCAUUUAAAGAAAGCGUAAUAGCUCACUGGUCGAGUCGGCCUGCGCGGAAGAUGUAACGGGGCUAAACCAUGCACCGAAGCUGCGGCAGCGACGCUGAUGCGUUGUUGGGUAGGGGAGCGUUCUGUAAGCCUGUGAAGGUGGCCUGUGAGGGUUGCUGGAGGUAUCAGAAGUGCGAAUGCUGACAUAAGUAACGAUAAAGCGGGUGAAAAGCCCGCUCGCCGGAAGACCAAGGGUUCCUGUCCAACGUUAAUCGGGGCAGGGUGAGUCGACCCCUAAGGCGAGGCCGAAAGGCGUAGUCGAUGGGAAACAGGUUAAUAUUCCUGUACUUGGUGUUACUGCGAAGGGGGGACGGAGAAGGCUAUGUUGGCCGGGCGACGGUUGUCCCGGUUUAAGCGUGUAGGCUGGUUUUCCAGGCAAAUCCGGAAAAUCAAGGCUGAGGCGUGAUGACGAGGCACUACGGUGCUGAAGCGACAAAUGCCCUGCUUCCAGGAAAAGCCUCUAAGCAUCAGGUAACAUCAAAUCGUACCCCAAACCGACACAGGUGGUCAGGUAGAGAAUACCAAGGCGCUUGAGAGAACUCGGGUGAAGGAACUAGGCAAAAUGGUGCCGUAACUUCGGGAGAAGGCACGCUGAUAUGUAGGUGAAGCGACUUGCUCGUGGAGCUGAAAUCAGUCGAAGAUACCAGCUGGCUGCAACUGUUUAUUAAAAACACAGCACUGUGCAAACACGAAAGUGGACGUAUACGGUGUGACGCCUGCCCGGUGCCGGAAGGUUAAUUGAUGGGGUUAGCGGUAACGCGAAGCUCUUGAUCGAAGCCCCGGUAAACGGCGGCCGUAACUAUAACGGUCCUAAGGUAGCGAAAUUCCUUGUCGGGUAAGUUCCGACCUGCACGAAUGGCGUAAUGAUGGCCAGGCUGUCUCCACCCGAGACUCAGUGAAAUUGAACUCGCUGUGAAGAUGCAGUGUACCCGCGGCAAGACGGAAAGACCCCGUGAACCUUUACUAUAGCUUGACACUGAACAUUGAGCCUUGAUGUGUAGGAUAGGUGGGAGGCUUUGAAGUGUGGACGCCAGUCUGCAUGGAGCCGACCUUGAAAUACCACCCUUUAAUGUUUGAUGUUCUAACGUGGGCCCCUUACCGGGGUUGCGGACAGUGUCUGGUGGGUAGUUUGACUGGGGCGGUCUCCUCCUAAAGAGUAACGGAGGAGCACGAAGGUUGGCUAAUCCUGGUCGGACAUCAGGAGGUUAGUGCAAUGGCAUAAGCCAGCUUGACUGCGAGCGUGACGGCGCGAGCAGGUGCGAAAGCAGGUCAUAGUGAUCCGGUGGUUCUGAAUGGAAGGGCCAUCGCUCAACGGAUAAAAGGUACUCCGGGGAUAACAGGCUGAUACCGCCCAAGAGUUCAUAUCGACGGCGGUGUUUGGCACCUCGAUGUCGGCUCAUCACAUCCUGGGGCUGAAGUAGGUCCCAAGGGUAUGGCUGUUCGCCAUUUAAAGUGGUACGCGAGCUGGGUUUAGAACGUCGUGAGACAGUUCGGUCCCUAUCUGCCGUGGGCGCUGGAGAACUGAGGGGGGCUGCUCCUAGUACGAGAGGACCGGAGUGGACGCAUCACUGGUGUUCGGGUUGUCAUGCCAAUGGCACUGCCCGGUAGCUAAAUGCGGAAGAGAUAAGUGCUGAAAGCAUCUAAGCACGAAACUUGCCCCGAGAUGAGUUCUCCCUGAGACUUAGAGUCUCCUGAAGGAACGUUGAAGACGACGACGUUGAUAGGCCGGGUGUGUAAGCGCAGCGAUGCGUUGAGCUAACCGGUACUAAUGAACCGUGAGGCUUAACCUU